RNAcentral lists this small RNA (107 nucleotides) under Aliirhizobium cellulosilyticum. Its description in RNAcentral is "Rhizobium cellulosilyticum Alphaproteobacterial ar15". It matches the Rfam family "Alphaproteobacterial ar15". The record is from Rfam by way of RNAcentral. Lineage: Bacteria; Pseudomonadati; Pseudomonadota; Alphaproteobacteria; Hyphomicrobiales; Rhizobiaceae.
AGUCGAUGGCACGAUGGUUUCCCGCCAUCCGCGUCGACUGUUCCCCUCUGGAGGUUUUUUGACCUUCACACUUGACGGGCCGCGGAGAAAUCCGUUGGCCCGAUUUU